GACGAACGCUGGCGGCGUGCCUAAUACAUGCAAGUCGAGCGGAAGUUGAAGAGCUUGCUCUUCAACUUUAGCGGCGGACGGGUGAGUAACACGUGGGCAACCUGCCCUGCAGAUCGGGAUAACUCCGGGAAACCGGUGCUAAUACCGAAUAGUUUUCGCCACCUCCUGGUGGCGUACGGAAAGACGGUUUCGGCUGUCACUGCAGGAUGGGCCCCCGGCGCAUUAGCUGGUUGGGGGGGAAACGGCCCACCAAGGCAACGAUGCGUAGCCGACCUGAGAGGGUGAUCGGCCAAGCUGGGACUGAGACACGGCCCAGCCUCCUACGGGAGGCGGCAGUAGGGAAUCUUCCGCAAUGGACGAAAGUCUGACGGAGCAACGCCGCGUGAGUGACGAAGGUUUUCGGAUCGUAAAACUCUGUUGUGAGGGAAGAACAAGUACCACUUAACUACUGGUACCUUGACGGUACCUCACCAGAAAGCCACGGCUAACUACGUGCCAGCCGCCGCAGUAA
RNAcentral lists this ribosomal RNA (511 nucleotides) under uncultured bacterium. Its description in RNAcentral is "partial 16S ribosomal RNA". It matches the Rfam family "Bacterial small subunit ribosomal RNA", at positions 28 to 523 of the family's 1533-position model. The record is from RNAcentral.